This 227-nucleotide long non-coding RNA is filed under the name Elaeis guineensis (African oil palm). RNAcentral describes it as "long non-coding RNA (EGUI_LNC021633)". Lineage: Eukaryota; Viridiplantae; Streptophyta; Magnoliopsida; Arecales; Arecaceae. The record is from RNAcentral.
AAUUCAAAUGAACACCAACUCAUCCCUUAUCCACUAAAGGCGUGAGGCAUGGCUUAAAUUGUGCAUGGAGUGAUUUCAUGAGAAAUCUUUUCUCAUGUAAUAAAUGGGGCAUAAAAAAAGAAUAAGGUACAAAGAUUGAUUACCCAUUCAAAUUCAAACUUUAUUUUGAAUUUGAAUGACCAACCAAUCAUCCUUAUCCAUUCAUAUGGCACAUUAAAGUGGGGCGU